AUGGUGCAGCGGAGAGCUGAAUAUUUAAAGUUGACCGCCCUCCGCCAAGAGGGCAAUGAGGUGGGUGCCAUGGCACAGGUGUUCUGGUCCCUGGCUGAGGGCAUGGGAAAUAAUGAUGCGGCCCUCCAGAGUCGAGUCAGGUGCCUGUGGACCCUCCAGAGUCGACUCAGGUGCCCGUGGACCUUCCAGAGUCGAGUCAGGUGCCCGUGGACCUUCCAGAGUCGAGUCAGGUGCCCGUGGACCCUCCAGAGUCGAGUCAGGUGCCCGUGGACCCUCCAGAGUCGAGUCAGGUGCCCGUGGACCUUCCAAAGUCAGGUCAGGUGCCCGUGGACCCUCCAGAAUCGAGUCAGGUGCCCGUGGACCCUCCAGAGUCGAGUCAGGUGCCCUUGGACCUUCCAGAGUCGAGUCGAGUCAGGUGCCCGUGGACCUUCCAGAGUCGAGUCAGGUCCAGAGUCGAGUCAGGUGCCCGUGGACCUUCCAGAGUUGAGUCAGGUGCCCGUGGACCUUCCAGAGUCGAGUCGAGUCGAGUCAGGUGCCCUUGGACCUUCCAGAGUCGAGUCGAGUCAGGUGCCCGUGGACCCUCCAGAGUCGAGUCAGGUGCCCGUGGACCCUCCAGAGUCGAGUCAGGUGCCCUUGGACCUUCCAGAGUUGAGUCAGGUGCCCGUGGACCUUCCAGAGUCGAGUCGAGUCAAGUCAGGUGCCCUUGGACCUUCCAGAGUCGAGUCGAGUCAGGUGCCCGUGGACCCUCCAGAGUCGAGUCAGGUGCCCGUGGACCUUCCAGAGUCGAGUCAGGUUCCCGUGGACCUUCCAGAGUCGAGUCAGGUCCCCAUGGACCCUCCAGAGUCGAGUCAGGUGCCCUUGGACCUUCCAGAGUCGAGUCGAGUCAGGUGCCCGUGGACCUUCCAGAGUCGAGUCAGGUCCAGAGUCGAGUCAGGUGCCCGUGGACCUUCCAGAGUUGAGUCAGGUGCCCGUGGACCUUCCAGAGUCGAGUCGAGUCGAGUCAGGUGCCCUUGGACCUUCCAGAGUCGAGUCGAGUCAGGUGCCCGUGGACCCUCCAGAGUCGAGUCAGGUGCCCGUGGACCCUCCAGAGUCGAGUCAGGUGCCCGUGGGCCCCUCCAGAGUCGAGUCAGGUGCCCGUGGACCCUCCAGAGUCGAGUCAGGUGCCCGUGGACACUCCAGAGUCGAGUCAGGUGCCCGUGGACCCUCCAGAGUCAGGGCUAG
This 1221-nucleotide long non-coding RNA is filed under the name Carassius auratus (goldfish). RNAcentral describes it as "lncRNA (ENSCARG00000009429.1)". Lineage: Eukaryota; Metazoa; Chordata; Actinopteri; Cypriniformes; Cyprinidae. The record is from RNAcentral.